RNAcentral lists this ribosomal RNA (478 nucleotides) under uncultured bacterium. RNAcentral's name for it is "partial 16S ribosomal RNA". It matches the Rfam family "Bacterial small subunit ribosomal RNA", at positions 28 to 523 of the family's 1533-position model. The record is from RNAcentral.
GACGAACGCUGGCGGCGUGCUUAACACAUGCAAGUCGGACGGUAAGGCCCUUCGGGGUACACGAGUGGCGAACGGGUGAGUAACACGUGGGUGAUCUACCCUGCACUUCGGGAUAAGCCUGGGAAACUGGGUCUAAUACCGGAUAGGACUCCGGACUGCAUGGUCUGGGGUGGAAAGCUUUUGCGGUGUGGGAUGGGCACGCGGCCUAUCAGGUUGUUGGUGGGGUGAUGGCCUACCAAGGCGACGACGGGUAGCCGGCCUGAGAGGGUGACCGGCCACACUGGGACUGAGAUACGGCCCAGACUCCUACGGGAGGCAGCAGUGGGGAAUAUUGCACAAUGGGCGCAAGCCUGAUGCAGCGACGCCGCGUGAGGGAUGACGGCCUUCGGGUUGUAAACCUCUUUCAGCACCGACGAAGCGCAAGUGACGGUAGGUGCAGAAGAAGGACCGGCCAACUACGUGCCAGCCGCCGCGGUAA